RNAcentral lists this ribosomal RNA (254 nucleotides) under uncultured bacterium. Its description in RNAcentral is "partial 16S ribosomal RNA". It matches the Rfam family "Bacterial small subunit ribosomal RNA", at positions 524 to 776 of the family's 1533-position model. The record is from RNAcentral.
UACGUAGGUGGCAAGCGUUGUCCGGAAUUAUUGGGCGUAAAGCGCGCGCAGGCGGUCUUUUAAGUCUGAUGUGAAAGCCCACGGCUCAACCGUGGAGGGUCAUUGGAAACUGGGGGACUUGAGUGCAGAAGAGGAAAGUGGAAUUCCAAGUGUAGCGGUGAAAUGCGUAGAGAUUUGGAGGAACACCAGUGGCGAAGGCGACUUUCUGGUCUGUAACUGACGCUGAGGCGCGAAAGCGUGGGGAGCCAAACAGG